RNAcentral lists this transfer RNA (73 nucleotides) under Mycobacteroides salmoniphilum. RNAcentral describes it as "tRNA-Lys". It matches the Rfam family "tRNA". From Rfam's summary of the family: Transfer RNA (tRNA) molecules are approximately 80 nucleotides in length. Their secondary structure includes four short double-helical elements and three loops (D, anti-codon, and T loops). Further hydrogen bonds mediate the characteristic L-shaped molecular structure. tRNAs have two regions of fundamental functional importance: the anti-codon, which is responsible for specific mRNA codon recognition, and the 3' end, to which the tRNAs corresponding amino acid is attached (by aminoacyl-tRNA synthetases). tRNAs cope with the degeneracy of the genetic code in two manners: having more than one tRNA (with a specific anti-codon) for a particular amino acid; and 'wobble' base-pairing, i.e. permitting non-standard base-pairing at the 3rd anti-codon position. The record is from RNAcentral. Lineage: Bacteria; Bacillati; Actinomycetota; Actinomycetes; Mycobacteriales; Mycobacteriaceae.
GCGCCGUUAGCUGAGUAGGGAUAGCACCGGAUUCUUAAUCCGGGGACGGGGGAUCGAAACCUCCACGGCGCAC